This 253-nucleotide ribosomal RNA is filed under the name uncultured bacterium. Its description in RNAcentral is "partial 16S ribosomal RNA". It matches the Rfam family "Bacterial small subunit ribosomal RNA", at positions 524 to 776 of the family's 1533-position model. The record is from RNAcentral.
UACGGUGGGUGCAAGCGUUAUCCGGAUUCACUGGGUUUAAAGGGUGCGUAGGUGGGCAGGUAAGUCAGUGGUGAAAUCCCCGAGCUUAACUUGGGAACUGCCGUUGAUACUAUCUGUCUUGAAUAUCGUGGAGGUUAGCGGAAUAUGUCAUGUAGCGGUGAAAUGCUUAGAGAUGACAUAGAACACCAAUUGCGAAGGCAGCUGGCUACACGGUAAUUGACACUGAGGCACGAAAGCGUGGGGAGCAAACAGG